Molecule: ribosomal RNA, 253 nt
Filed under: uncultured bacterium
Lineage: Bacteria
Description: partial 16S ribosomal RNA
Rfam family: Bacterial small subunit ribosomal RNA
Source: RNAcentral
UACGUAGGUGGCAAGCGUUGUCCGGAUUUACUGGGCGUAAAGAGCGCGCAGGCGGUCGUUCAAGUCGCGUGUGAAAGCCCCCGGCUCAACUGGGGAGGGUCACGCGAUACUGAUCGACUCGAAGGCAGGAGAGGGAAGUGGAAUUCCCGGUGUAGUGGUGAAAUGCGUAGAUAUCGGAAGGAACAUCAGUGGCGAAAGCGACUUCCUGGACCAGUACCGACGUUCAGGCACGAAAGCGUGGGGAGCAAACAGG